Molecule: long non-coding RNA, 623 nt
Organism: Varanus komodoensis (Komodo dragon)
Lineage: Eukaryota; Metazoa; Chordata; Lepidosauria; Squamata; Varanidae
Exons: 4
Source: RefSeq, a predicted model, not a curated record
UCCUGGCUUAUGCAAAGCAGCAGGAAGAGCACAGGGAAGCAGUCAAUGUCUCCUUGCAAGAGGGCCUGGCCCCCAGACUGCCUAAAAGCAGCAGCACUCAGGCUACUCCUGCAGAAAUUGUCUCUGGAUCCAGAAGGUCGUACCAACUCUAGGCUGGUAGUCAACAAUCCUUCCUAGGUGGCCAGACUUCUUUCACUCCAUCUUCAGCAAAUACUAAUCGCCCCACCAAUUUUAACGAGGGUCUGCAAGUUUGUGUGACUUGGAACAGCUGGUCCUCUGCAGAAACCGCAGAGAGGGAGCUCUUGUGCUCUUCAAGCCAGAUCCAGCAUGUUUCCUGGAGGUACGUCUGAGAGAAUUCCAUGACUCUUUCUUCCUGCUAAAGUGUGCUAACUCGUGACUCUCAAGACAUGUUGCACCACCCCGGCGAUAACCCAUGUGAAGUGUCUGAAUAGUUCACAGUGCAACCAACAAUGAUCAGGCUGUCUCUGGGUUGUCCCCACACCCCGUCUUUCUGCAGGUAUCCCAGGAGUCGCCAACAGCAGGACCAACUUGUCUGCUCUUCUCCUGCCACAACCACAAGCCCUUUUUUACUCACUGCAUCUUUCCCCUUGAAAUUGACAGCU